GAUGAACGCUGGCGGCGUGCCUAAUACAUGCAAGUCGAGCGAACAGACGAGGAGCUUGCUCCUCUGACGUUAGCGGCGGACGGGUGAGUAACACGUGGAUAACCUACCUAUAAGACUGGGAUAACUUCGGGAAACCGGGGCUAAUACCGGAUAAUAUAUUGAACCGCAUGGUUCAAUAGUGAAAGACGGUUUUGCUGUCACUUAUAGAUGGAUCCGCGCCGCAUUAGCUAGUUGGUAAGGUAACGGCUUACCAAGGCCACGAUGCGUAGCCGACCUGAGAGGGUGAUCGGCCACACUGGAACUGAGACACGGUCCAGACUCCUACGGGAGGCAGCAGUAGGGAAUCUUCCGCAAUGGGCGAAAGCUUGACGGAGCAACGCCGCGUGAGUGAUGAAGGUCUUCGGAUCGUAAAACUCUGUUAUUAGGGAAGAACAAAUGUGUAAGUAACUAUGCACGUCUUGACGGUACCUAAUCAGAAAGCCACGGCUAACUACGUG
RNAcentral lists this ribosomal RNA (497 nucleotides) under uncultured bacterium. RNAcentral's name for it is "partial 16S ribosomal RNA". It matches the Rfam family "Bacterial small subunit ribosomal RNA", at positions 28 to 507 of the family's 1533-position model. The record is from RNAcentral.